Molecule: ribosomal RNA, 388 nt
Filed under: Ochromonas tuberculata
Lineage: Eukaryota; Chrysophyceae; Chromulinales; Chromulinaceae
Description: partial small subunit ribosomal RNA
Rfam family: Eukaryotic small subunit ribosomal RNA
Source: RNAcentral
GCUUGUCUCAAAGAUUAAGCCAUGCAAGUCUAUGUAUAAAUCUUUAUACGGUGAAACUGCGAAUGGCUCAUUAUAUCAGUUAUCGUUUAUUUGAUAAUCACUGCUACUUGGAUAACUGUAGUAAUUCUAGAGCUAAUACAUGCGUCAAUGCCCGACUUUGGAAGGGCUGUGUUUAUUAGAUCCAAAACCAAUGCGGGGCAACCCGGAAUAUGGUGAAUCAUAAUAACUGUCGUAUCGAGCAAUCGAAGCGCCAUACAAGUUUCUGCCCUAUCAGCUUUGGAUGGUAGGGUAUUGGCCUACCAUGGCUUUAACGGGUAACGGAGAAUUAGGGUUCGAUUCCGGAGAGGGAGCCUGAGAAACGGCUACCACAUCCAAGGAAGGCAGCAGG